AGAGUUUGAUCCUGGCUCAGAUUGAACGCUGGCGGCGUGCUUAACACAUGCAAGUCGCGCGUGAAAGGGCUUCGGCCUGAGUAAAGCGGCGCACGGGUGAGUAACGCGUGGAUGAUCUACCCAUGAGUUGGGAAUAACGGCUGGAAACGGUCGCUAAUACCGAAUACGCUCCGAUUUCAACUUCGGGGGAAAGGUGGCCUCUGCUUGCAAGCUACUGCUCAUGGAUGAGUCCGCGUCCCAUUAGCUAGUUGGUGAGGUAACGGCCCACCAAGGCAACAAUGGGUAGCCGGUCUGAGAGGAUGACCGGCCACACUGGGACUGAAA
This 324-nucleotide ribosomal RNA is filed under the name uncultured bacterium. Its description in RNAcentral is "bacterial SSU rRNA". It matches the Rfam family "Bacterial small subunit ribosomal RNA", at positions 8 to 324 of the family's 1533-position model. The record is from RNAcentral.